UACGAAGGGUGCAAGCGUUACUCGGAAUUACUGGGCGUAAAGCGUGCGUAGGUGGGUUGUUAAGUCUGUUGUGAAAGCCCCGGGCUCAACCUGGGAAUGGCAAUGGAUACUGGCAAGCUAGAGUGCGGUAGAGGGUAGUGGAAUUCCCGGUGUAGCGGUGAAAUGCGUAGAGAUCGGGAGGAACACCAGUGGCGAAGGCGGCUACCUGGACCAGCACUGACACUGAGGCACGAAAGCGUGGGGAGCAAACAGG
RNAcentral lists this ribosomal RNA (253 nucleotides) under uncultured bacterium. RNAcentral's name for it is "partial 16S ribosomal RNA". It matches the Rfam family "Bacterial small subunit ribosomal RNA", at positions 524 to 776 of the family's 1533-position model. The record is from RNAcentral.